This 515-nucleotide ribosomal RNA is filed under the name uncultured bacterium. RNAcentral's name for it is "partial 16S ribosomal RNA". It matches the Rfam family "Bacterial small subunit ribosomal RNA", at positions 28 to 523 of the family's 1533-position model. The record is from RNAcentral.
GAUGAACGCUGGCGGCGUGCCUAAUACAUGCAAGUCGAGCGAAUGGAUUAAGAGCUUGCUCUUAUGAAGUUAGCGGCGGACGGGUGAGUAACACGUGGGUAACCUGCCCAUAAGACUGGGAUAACUCCGGGAAACCGGGGCUAAUACCGGAUAACAUUUUGAACCGCAUGGUUCGAAAUUGAAAGGCGGCUUCGGCUGUCACUUAUGGAUGGACCCGCGUCGCAUUAGCUAGUUGGUGAGGUAACGGCUCACCAAGGCAACGAUGCGUAGCCGACCUGAGAGGGUGAUCGGCCACACUGGGACUGAGACACGGCCCAGACUCCUACGGGAGGCAGCAGUAGGGAAUCUUCCGAAAUGGACGAAAGUCUGGCGGAGCAACGCCGCGUGAGUGAGGAAGGCUUUCGGGUCGUAAAACUCUGUUGUUAGGGAAGAACAAGUGCUAGUUGAAUAAGCUGGCACCUUGACGGUACCCAACCAGAAAGCCACGGCUAACUACGUGCCAGCCGCCGCGGUAA